UUAAGUCAGCGGGUAUCCCUACCUGAUCCGAGGUCAACCAUUGAAAUUGGGGGUUAAUGGCAAGCAUCCACCGGGACUCUAUAGCGAGAAGAAUUACUACGCUUAGAGCCAGAUGGCACCGCCACUGAUUUUAAGGGCUGCCCGUGCGGCAGGCCCCAACACCAAGCCGAGCUUGAGGGGUUAUAAUGACGCUCGAACAG
This 200-nucleotide unclassified non-coding RNA is filed under the name Helotiales sp. RNAcentral's name for it is "partial internal transcribed spacer 2". The record is from RNAcentral. Lineage: Eukaryota; Fungi; Ascomycota; Leotiomycetes; Helotiales.